CCUACGGGAGGCAGCAGUGAGGAAUAUUGGUCAAUGGACGAGAGUCUGAACCAGCCAAGUAGCGUGAAGGAUGACUGCCCUAUGGGUUGUAAACUUCUUUUAUAUGGGAAUAAAAUCUUCCACGUGUGGGAUUUUGUAUGUACCAUAUGAAUAAGGAUCGGCUAACUCCGUGCCAGCAGCCGCGGUAAUACGGAGGAUCCGAGCGUUAUCCGGAUUUAUUGGGUUUAAAGGGAGCGUAGGUGGAUUGUUAAGUCAGUUGUGAAAGUUUGGGGCUCAACCGUAAAAUUGCAGUUGAUACUGGCAGUCUUGAGUACAGUAGAGGUGGGCGGAAUUCGUGGUGUAGCGGUGAAAUGCUUAGAUAUCACGAAGAACUCCGAUUGCGAAGGCAGUUCACUGGACUGCAACUGACACUGAGGCUCGAAAGUGUGGGUAUCAAACAGGAUUAGAUACCCGAGUAGUC
RNAcentral lists this ribosomal RNA (460 nucleotides) under uncultured bacterium. Its description in RNAcentral is "partial 16S ribosomal RNA". It matches the Rfam family "Bacterial small subunit ribosomal RNA", at positions 338 to 795 of the family's 1533-position model. The record is from RNAcentral.